RNAcentral lists this small RNA (732 nucleotides) under Pan troglodytes (chimpanzee). RNAcentral's name for it is "retained intron". Lineage: Eukaryota; Metazoa; Chordata; Mammalia; Primates; Hominidae. The record is from RNAcentral.
GGAGAUUUCGCAUCUUCUAACACCUUUGCCGCUCUUGUUCCCGCGAGUAGACUCCCCAAUUUCUGCCCAGGACCUCUUGUCCCGGAUUAAACAGGAGGAGCAUCAGUGCGUGUGGGAUCAGCAGGAUUUGGCAGACAGAGAUAUUCCCACGGAUCCCAAUUCAGAGUCUCUCAUCUCAGCACAUGACAUUUUGUCAUGGAUCAAGCAGGAGGAGCAGCCAUACCCAUGGGGACCACGCGACUCAAUGGACGGAGAGCUUGGAUUAGACUCUGGCCCUAGUGACAGCCUGCUGAUGGUGAAGAACCCACCCCCGGCCCCGCCACAGCCCCAGCCCCAGCCCCAGCCACCGCAGCCGCAGCUGCAGUCGCAGCCCCAGCCCCAGAGCCUGCCCCCGAUCGCGGUGGCCGAGAACCCGGGCGGCCCCCCGAGCCGAGGGCUGCUGGACGACGGUUUCCAGGUGCUGCCCGGGGAGCGUGGCUCCGGCGAGGCGCCGCCGGGUGGGGACCGCAGCACCGGGGGCGGCGGGGGCGAUGGGGGCGGUGGGGCGGCGGCGCGGAGGCGGGGACUGGGGCAGGCGGCGGCUGUGGCAGCUGCUGCCCUGGCGGGCUGCGGCGGAGCCUCCUCCUGCACGGCGCCCGCAGCAAGCCCUACUCGUGCCCCGAGUGCGGCAAGAGCUUCGGCGUGCGCAAGAGCCUCAUCAUCCACCACCGCAGCCACACCAAGGAGCGGCCC